ACUCCUACGGAGGCAGCAGUAGGAAUUUCCGCAAUGGACGAAAGUCAUGACGGAGCAAUGCCGCGUGAGUGAUGAAGGUUUUCGAAAUUCGUAAAGCUCUGAUUGUAAGGGAAGAAUAGCAGUAGUAGGAAAUGACUACUGUGUGACGGUACCUUACCAGAAAGCCACGGCUAACUACGUGCCAGCAGCCGCGGUAAUACGUAGGUGGCAAGCGUUAUCCGGAAUUAUUGGCGUAAAGCGCAUGUAGGCGGCUCUUUGAAGUCUGAUGUGAAAAGCCUGUGGCAUCAACCACAGAAUUGCAUUGGAUACUGGAGAGCUAGAAUCUUGGAGAGGUAAGUGGAA
RNAcentral lists this ribosomal RNA (342 nucleotides) under uncultured bacterium. RNAcentral describes it as "bacterial SSU rRNA". It matches the Rfam family "Bacterial small subunit ribosomal RNA", at positions 335 to 666 of the family's 1533-position model. The record is from RNAcentral.